CCUACGGGAGGCAGCAGUGGGGAAUAUUGGACAAUGGGCGAAAGCCUGAUCCAGCCAUGCCGCGUGUGUGAAGAAGGCCUUCGGGUUGUAAAGCACUUUCAGUGGGGAAGAAAGCCUUGGGGCUAAUACCCUCGAGGAAGGACAUCACCCACAGAAGAAGCACCGGCUAACUCCGUGCCAGCAGCCGCGGUAAUACGGAGGGUGCGAGCGUUAAUCGGAAUUACUGGGCGUAAAGCGCGCGUAGGCGGUCUGAUAAGCCGGUUGUGAAAGCCCCGGGCUCAACCUGGGAACGGCAUCCGGAACUGUCAGGCUAGAGUGCAGGAGAGGAAGGUAGAAUUCCCGGUGUAGCGGUGAAAUGCGUAGAGAUCGGGAGGAAUACCAGUGGCGAAGGCGGCCUUCUGGACUGACACUGACGCUGAGGUGCGAAAGCGUGGGUAGCAAACAGGAUUAGAUACCCGAGUAGU
RNAcentral lists this ribosomal RNA (464 nucleotides) under Vreelandella stevensii. RNAcentral describes it as "partial 16S ribosomal RNA". It matches the Rfam family "Bacterial small subunit ribosomal RNA", at positions 338 to 794 of the family's 1533-position model. The record is from RNAcentral. Lineage: Bacteria; Pseudomonadati; Pseudomonadota; Gammaproteobacteria; Oceanospirillales; Halomonadaceae.